CCUACGGGAGGCAGCAGUGGGGAAUUUUCCGCAAUGGGCGAAAGCCUGACGGAGCAACGCCGCGUGGGGGAAGAAGGUUUUUGGAUUGUAAACCCCUUUUCUCAAGGAAGAACAAAAUGACGGUACUUGAGGAAUCAGCCUCGGCUAACUCCGUGCCAGCAGCCGCGGUAAUACGGAGGAGGCAAGCGUUAUCCGGAAUUAUUGGGCGUAAAGCGUUCGUAGGCGGCUGUUCAAGUCUGCUGUCAAAGACCGAGGCUCAACCUCGGGUCGGCAGUGGAAACUGGAUAGCUAGAGGUCGGUAGGGGCAGAGGGAAUUCCCAGUGUAGCGGUGAAAUGCGUAGAUAUUGGGAAGAACACCGGUGGCGAAAGCGCUCUGCUGGGCCGAACCUGACGCUGAGGAACGAAAGCUAGGGGAGCGAAUGGGAUUAGAUACCCCAGUAGUCCUAGCCGUAAACGAUGGAAACUAGGUGUGGCCUGUAUCGACCCGGGCCGUGCCGAAGCUAACGCGUUAAGUUUCCCGCCUGGGGAGUACGCACGCAAGUGUGAAACUCAAAGGAAUGACG
Molecule: ribosomal RNA, 563 nt
Filed under: uncultured Geitlerinema sp.
Lineage: Bacteria; Bacillati; Cyanobacteriota; Cyanophyceae; Geitlerinematales; Geitlerinemataceae
Description: bacterial SSU rRNA
Rfam family: Bacterial small subunit ribosomal RNA
Source: RNAcentral